AGUGAACGCUGGCGGUAGGCCUAACACAUGCAAGUCGAACGGCAGCACAGUAAGAGCUUGCUCUUACGGGUGGCGAGUGGCGGACGGGUGAGGAAUACAUCGGAAUCUACUUUUUCGUGGGGGAUAACGUAGGGAAACUUACGCUAAUACCGCAUACGACCUACGGGUGAAAGCAGGGGAUCUUCGGACCUUGCGCGAUUGAAUGAGCCGAUGUCGGAUUAGCUAGUUGGCCGGGUAAAGGCCCACCAAGGCGACGAUCCGUAGCUGGUCUGAGGAGAUGAUCAGCCACACUGGAACUGAGAAACGGUCCAGACUCCUACGGGGGGCAGCAGUGGGGAAUAUUGGACAAUGGGCGCAAGCCUGAUCCAGGCAUACCGCGUGGGUGAAGAAGGCCUUCGGGUUGUAAAGCCCUUUUGUUGGGAAAGAAAAGCAGCAGGUUAAUACCCCGCUGUUCUGACGGUACCCAAAGAAUAAGCACCGGCUAACUUCGUG
This 492-nucleotide ribosomal RNA is filed under the name uncultured bacterium. Its description in RNAcentral is "partial 16S ribosomal RNA". It matches the Rfam family "Bacterial small subunit ribosomal RNA", at positions 29 to 507 of the family's 1533-position model. The record is from RNAcentral.